RNAcentral lists this long non-coding RNA (263 nucleotides) under Lathyrus oleraceus (garden pea). RNAcentral describes it as "Pisum sativum (pea) long non-coding RNA (PSAT_LNC028350)". The record is from RNAcentral. Lineage: Eukaryota; Viridiplantae; Streptophyta; Magnoliopsida; Fabales; Fabaceae.
AUAAUAACAAACAAACAAGGAUGAAAUCCAAAAAGCGGAUACCGGAUGCCAAUCAUUGGGCUUAUACCAAUCUCCUAAAACAGAACGGGAUAUCAGAUGCCACUCAAUGGACUUACACUAAUCUCCUCCAAAGAAAACAAAGGAUGAAAUAUGGAAGUCAACUGCCAAUCUGUCUGGACUUAGGUUAACCACACACAUGCUCAUAGGAAUACCAAUGCCACAUUACAGGGACUUACAAUGGAUCCUCACAUACAAGAACAAAA